RNAcentral lists this ribosomal RNA (427 nucleotides) under uncultured bacterium. RNAcentral's name for it is "bacterial SSU rRNA". It matches the Rfam family "Bacterial small subunit ribosomal RNA", at positions 33 to 507 of the family's 1533-position model. The record is from RNAcentral.
ACGCUGGCGGCAGGCCUAACACAUGCAAGUCGAGCGGGGGAGCAAUCCCUAGCGGCGGACGGGUUAGUAACGCGUGGGAACAUACCCUUUGGUACGGAAUAGCCUCGGGAAACUGAGAGUAAUACCGUAUGUGCCCUUCGGGGGAAAGAUUUAUCGCCAAAGGAUUGGCCGCGUGGGAUUAGGUAGUUGGUGGGGUAAUGGCCUACCAAGCCUACGAUCCAUAGCUGGUUUGAGAGGAUGAUCAGCAACACUGGGACUGAGACACGGCCCAGACUCCUACGGGAGGCAGCAGUGGGGAAUCUUAGACAAUGGGCGCAAGCCUGAUCUAGCCAUGCCGCGUGAGCGAUGAAGGCCUUAGGGUUGUAAAGCUCUUUCAGAUGAGAAGAUAAUGACGGUACCAUCAGAAGAAGCCCCGGCUAACUCCGUG